This 468-nucleotide ribosomal RNA is filed under the name uncultured bacterium. RNAcentral describes it as "partial 16S ribosomal RNA". It matches the Rfam family "Bacterial small subunit ribosomal RNA", at positions 28 to 507 of the family's 1533-position model. The record is from RNAcentral.
GACGAACGCUGGCGGCGUGCUUAACACAUGCAAGUCGAACGGCAAGGCCCUGCAUUCGUGGGUUGCUCGAGUGGCGGACGGGUGAGUAAAACGAGAGUAACAUGCCCUUGACUAUGGGGUAACUCCAGGAAACUGGGGCUAAUACCGGAUAGGAGAUCCUGCUGCGUGGUGGAGGUUGGAGAGAUGCGUCGGUAGGGGGUGGACUCGCGGCUUAUCAGCUUGUUGGUGGGGUAGUGGAAUACCAUGGCUUUGACGGGUAGGCUGCCUGGGAGGGUGACCGGCCACGUUGGGCUUGAGAUGCGGCACAGACCCCUAUGCGACGCAGCAGAGCGGAAUAGUGCACAAUGGGAUGAAGCCUGAUGUGGCAACGCCGCGUGGGGGAUAGGGUCCUGCGGUUUGUAUACCACUUUCGCCUUUGACGAGGCGUGUGUGACGGUAAUGGAUAAAUAAGCACCGGCUAACUACGUG